RNAcentral lists this transfer RNA (71 nucleotides) under Marmota monax (woodchuck). RNAcentral describes it as "tRNA.Gly". It matches the Rfam family "tRNA". From Rfam's summary of the family: Transfer RNA (tRNA) molecules are approximately 80 nucleotides in length. Their secondary structure includes four short double-helical elements and three loops (D, anti-codon, and T loops). Further hydrogen bonds mediate the characteristic L-shaped molecular structure. tRNAs have two regions of fundamental functional importance: the anti-codon, which is responsible for specific mRNA codon recognition, and the 3' end, to which the tRNAs corresponding amino acid is attached (by aminoacyl-tRNA synthetases). tRNAs cope with the degeneracy of the genetic code in two manners: having more than one tRNA (with a specific anti-codon) for a particular amino acid; and 'wobble' base-pairing, i.e. permitting non-standard base-pairing at the 3rd anti-codon position. The record is from RNAcentral. Lineage: Eukaryota; Metazoa; Chordata; Mammalia; Rodentia; Sciuridae.
GCUGGGGUAGCUCAGUGGUAGAGCGCUUGCCUUCCAUGCAUGAGGCUCUGGGUUUGAUCCUCAGCACCACG